RNAcentral lists this ribosomal RNA (400 nucleotides) under uncultured bacterium. RNAcentral's name for it is "bacterial SSU rRNA". It matches the Rfam family "Bacterial small subunit ribosomal RNA", at positions 29 to 410 of the family's 1533-position model. The record is from RNAcentral.
AACGAACGCUGGCGGCGUGCCUAACACAUGCAAGUCGAGCGGGAAAGUUCCCUUCGGGGAGCGAGUACAGCGGCGAACGGGUGAGUAACACGUAGGUAACCUACCCUGGAGAUCGGGAUAACCUGCCGAAAGGCGGGCUAAUACCGGAUAAGACCACGAGGGCUGCGGCCCUUGAGGAAAAAGAUGGCCUCUGCUUGCAAGCUAUCACUCUGGGAUGGGCCUGCGCGCCAUUAGCUAGUUGGUGAGGUAACGGCUCACCAAGGCUGAGAUGGCUAGCUGGUCUGAGAGGAUGGCCAGCCACACUGGGACUGAGACACGGCCCAGACUCCUACGGGAGGCAGCAGUGGGGAAUAUUGCGCAAUGGGCGAAAGCCUGACGCAGCGACGCCGCGUGGGUGAUG